RNAcentral lists this ribosomal RNA (317 nucleotides) under uncultured eukaryote. Its description in RNAcentral is "partial 18S ribosomal RNA". It matches the Rfam family "Eukaryotic small subunit ribosomal RNA", at positions 1470 to 1796 of the family's 1831-position model. The record is from RNAcentral.
CCCUUAGAUGCUCUGGGCCGCACGCGCGCUACACUGGUCGAUGCAACGAGUUUCUUUCCUUGGCCGACAGGCCUGGGCAAUCUUUGAACAUCGAUCGUGAUCGGGAUAGAUUCUUGUAAUUUUUGAUCUUAAACGAGGAAUUCCUAGUAAACGCAAGUCAUCAGCUUGCAUUGAUUACGUCCCUGCCCUUUGUACACACCGCCCGUCGCUCCUACCGAUUUCGAGUGGUUCGGUGAACCUUUCGGACCGGCAAUGCCUCGUGUUGCGCCGGAAAGUCAAGUAAACCAUAUCACUUAGAGGAAGGAGAAGUCGUAACA